This 483-nucleotide ribosomal RNA is filed under the name uncultured bacterium. Its description in RNAcentral is "bacterial SSU rRNA". It matches the Rfam family "Bacterial small subunit ribosomal RNA", at positions 50 to 518 of the family's 1533-position model. The record is from RNAcentral.
AACACAUGCAAGUCGAGGGCAUCAGGGAGAAAGCUUGCUUUCUUGCGUCGGCGACCGGCGCACGGGGUGAGUAACGCGUAUCCAACCUUCCCCCCAGUAGGGCAUAGCCCGGCGAAAGUCGGAUUAAUACCCUAUGUUUUCCAAUGAGGACAUCUGAGCUGGAACAAAGAUUUAUCGCUGGGGGGAUGGGGAUGCGUCCGAUUAGGUUGUUGGCGGGGUAACGGCCCACCAAGCCCGCGAUCGGUAGGGGUUCUGAGAGGAAGGUCCCCCCACACUGGUACUGAGACACGGACCAGACUCCUACGGGAGGCAGCAGUGAGGAAUAUUGGUCAAUGGGCGCGAGCCUGAACCAGCCAAGUAGCGUGCAGGACGACGGCCCUAUGGGUUGUAAACUGCUUUUAUGGCGGGGAUAAAGUGGCGUACGUGUACGUUUUUGUAGGUACCGCAUGAAUAAGGACCGGCUAAUUCCGUGCCAGCAGCGGC